GACGAACGCUGGCGGCGUGCCUAAUACAUGCAAGUUGAGCGAUGAAGCUUGGUGCUUGCACCAAUUUGAAGAGCAGCGAACGGGUGAGUAACGCGUGGGGAAUCUGCCUUUGAGCGGGGGACAACAUUUGGAAACGGAUGCUAAUACCGCAUAAUAACUUUAAACAUAAGUUUUAAGUUUGAAAGAUGCAAUUGCAUCACUCAAAGAUGAUCCCGCGUUGUAUUAGCUAGUUGGUGAGGUAAAGGCUCACCAAGGCGAUGAUACAUAGCCGACCUGAGAGGGUGAUCGGCCACAUUGGGACUGAGACACGGCCCAAACUCCUACGGGAGGCAGCAGUAGGGAAUCUUCGGCAAUGGACGAAAGUCUGACCGAGCAACGCCGCGUGAGUGAAGAAGGUUUUCGGAUCGUAAAACUCUGUUGGUAGAGAAGAACGUUGGUGAGAGUGGAAAGCUCAUCAAGUGACGGUAACUACCCAGAAAGGGACGGCUAACUACGUG
Molecule: ribosomal RNA, 497 nt
Filed under: uncultured bacterium
Lineage: Bacteria
Description: partial 16S ribosomal RNA
Rfam family: Bacterial small subunit ribosomal RNA
Source: RNAcentral